This 465-nucleotide ribosomal RNA is filed under the name uncultured bacterium. RNAcentral's name for it is "partial 16S ribosomal RNA". It matches the Rfam family "Bacterial small subunit ribosomal RNA", at positions 28 to 507 of the family's 1533-position model. The record is from RNAcentral.
GACGAACGCUGGCGGCGUGCUUAACACAUGCAAGUCGUACGGUAAGGCCCUUUCGGGGGUACACGAGUGGCGAACGGGUGAGUAACACGUGAGUAACCUGCCCACAACUUUGGGAUAACGCUAGGAAACUGGUGCUAAUACUGGCUAUGUGCUCCUGCUGCAUGGUGGGGGUUGGAAAGCUCCGGCGGUUGUGGAUGGACUCGCGGCCUAUCAGCUUGUUGGUGGGGUAGUGGCCUACCAAGGCGGCGACGGGUAGCCGGCCUGAGAGGGUGACCGGCCACAUUGGGACUGAGAUACGGCCCAGACUCCUACGGGAGGCAGCAGUGGGGAAUAUUGCACAAUGGGCGCAAGCCUGAUGCAGCAACGCCGCGUGCGGGAUGACGGCCUUCGGGUUGUAAACCGCUUUCAGCAGGGACGAAGCUUUUUGUGACGGUACCUGCAGAAGAAGCACCGGCUAACUACGUG